Molecule: ribosomal RNA, 452 nt
Filed under: uncultured bacterium
Lineage: Bacteria
Description: bacterial SSU rRNA
Rfam family: Bacterial small subunit ribosomal RNA
Source: RNAcentral
UACGGAAGGCAGCAGUGGGGAAUAUUGCACAAUGGGCGCAAGCCUGAUGCAGCCAUGCCGCGUGUAUGAAGAAGGCCUUCGGGUUGUAAAGUACUUUCAGUCGUGAGGAAGGUGUUAAGGUUAAUAACCUUAGCAAUUGACGUUAGCGACAGAAGAAGCACCGGCUAACUCCGUGCCAGCAGCCGCGGUAAUACGGAGGGUGCGAGCGUUAAUCGGAAUUACUGGGCGUAAAGGGCACGCAGGCGGUUAAUAAGUUGGAUGUGAAUCCCCGGGCUUAACCUGGGAAUGGCAUUCAAGACUGGUUAGCUAGAGUCUUGUAGAGGGGGUAGAAUUCCAUGUGUAGCGGUGAAAUGCGUAGAGAUGUGGAGGAAUACCGGUGGCGAAGGCGGCCCCUGGGACAAAGACUGACGCUCAUGUGCGAAAGCGUGGGGAGCAAACAGGGAUUAGAUACC